Molecule: ribosomal RNA, 403 nt
Filed under: uncultured bacterium
Lineage: Bacteria
Description: bacterial SSU rRNA
Rfam family: Bacterial small subunit ribosomal RNA
Source: RNAcentral
AUUAAACGCUGGCGGCAUGCCUUACACAUGCAAGUCGAACGGCAGCACGGGGGCAACCCUGGUGGCGAGUGGCGGACGGGUGAGUAAAGCAUCGGAACGUAUCCUGGAGUGGGGGAUAACGUAGCGAAAGUUACGCUAAUACCGCAUAUUCUGUGAGCAGGAAAGCAGGGGAUCGCAAGACCUUGCGCUCUGGGAGCGGCCGAUGUCGGAUUAGCUAGUUGGUGGGGUAAAGGCCUACCAAGGCGACGAUCCGUAGCGGGUCUGAGAGGAUGAUCCGCCACACUGGGACUGAGACACGGCCCAGACUCCUACGGGAGGCAGCAGUGGGGAAUUCUGGACAAUGGGCGGAAGCCUGAUCCAGCCAUGCCGCGUGAGUGAAGAAGGCCUCGGGUUGUAAAGGUAC